Long non-coding RNA from Morone saxatilis (striped sea-bass), 213 nucleotides. RefSeq lists it as uncharacterized. NCBI's taxonomy places the organism in Eukaryota, Metazoa, Chordata, Actinopteri, Moronidae. The transcript has 3 exons. The record is from RefSeq and is a predicted model, not a curated record.
GUUUUGCUGCUGAGAGCAAAAACCACACAGUCAGUAAACUCACCUCAGAAGGAAGGAGGAGGGUUCAACUGCUGCGACGGAAACCGCUCUGUCACAUCACUAUGUGCCACCAUGAGUCCAACAUCAUGCUGCUGCUCUUGCUGAACUCACUGCUGUGCUGCCCAACACACCAAGCCUCUCUGACUGUGAGUCCCAGCAGCUCUCAGAUGUUUA